GUAAGGGAAGAAUAAGGGCUACGCGUAGUCUGAUGACGGUACCUUACGAAUAAGCAUCGGCUAACUCCGUGCCAGCAGCCGCGGUAAUACGGAGGAUGCGAGCGUUAUCCGGAAUCAUUGGGUCUAAAGGGUCUGUAGGCGGGCUAGUAAGUCAGAGGUGAAAGCGCUUAGCUCAACUAAGCAACUGCCUUUGAAACUGUUGGUCUUGAAUGGUUGUGAAGUAGUUGGAAUGUGUAGUGUAGCGGUGAAAUGCUUAGAUAUUACACAGAACACCGAUAGCGAAGGCAUAUUACUAACAAUUAAUUGACGCUGAUGGACGAAAGCGUGGGGAGCGAACAGGAUUAGAUACCCUGGUAGUCCACGCUGUAAACGAUGGAUACUAGCUGUUUGGAGCGAUCUGAGUGGCUAAGCGAAAGUGAUAAGUAUCCCACCUGGGGAGUACGUUCGCAAGAAUGAAACUCAAAGGAAUUGACGGGGGCCCGCACAAG
Molecule: ribosomal RNA, 488 nt
Filed under: uncultured bacterium
Lineage: Bacteria
Description: bacterial SSU rRNA
Rfam family: Bacterial small subunit ribosomal RNA
Source: RNAcentral